AAAUUGAAGAGUUUGAUCAUGGCUCAGAUUGAACGCUGGCGGCAGGCCUAACACAUGCAAGUCGAACGGUAACAGGAAACAGCUUGCUGUUUCCUGACGAGUGGCGGACGGGUGAGUAAUGUCUGGGAAACUGCCUGAUGGAGGGGGAUAACUACUGGAAACGGUAGCUAAUACCGCAUAACGUCGCAAGACCAAAGAGGGGGACCUUCGGGCCUCUUGCCAUCGGAUGUGCCCAGAUGGGAUUAGCUAGUAGGUGGGGUAACGGCUCACC
Molecule: ribosomal RNA, 271 nt
Filed under: Shigella flexneri
Lineage: Bacteria; Pseudomonadati; Pseudomonadota; Gammaproteobacteria; Enterobacterales; Enterobacteriaceae
Description: partial 16S ribosomal RNA
Rfam family: Bacterial small subunit ribosomal RNA
Source: RNAcentral